CGGCAACGCCGGAUCGUUAACCCACUGAGCAAGGGCAGGGACCGAACCCGCAACCUCAUGGUUCCUAGUCGGAUUCGUUAACCAUUGCGCCACGACGGGAACUCCAGAAGCAGACUCUUGAAGCAUCCGUUUGGAGGUGGAGAGCUCCAGGUUGGGCUGUGUUGGGGGUGGGGGGGAACAGCUGCUGCAAAGGCCCUGGGGCUGGAACAAUACAGUCUGCCUGCGGAAAAGGAAAACACAUGUGGCUGGUGCAGCAUGAGGGAGUGGAAAGGUCGGCUGGGGCCGAGAGGUAGGCAACGGAUCGACCCCUUCCGGCUUUGCUGGAAAGACGUGGAGCAGGCGUCCGCAGGGAUUGGAUUUGCAUUUUAGGGCCGCCUCCGAGCGAGGAAGUGCAUUCUGGGAGAGCAGGAGAGAGGGGUGGAUGGCGCGUGGCUGCCGGGCACCCGGUCCAGGCUCCACCUAGACGUGCUCUACCUUCAUCCCCCUGCCUCUGAAAGGCCGCGUGGACAGGAGGCCCCCCGAGGAAGGGCAAAGGUAGAAUGGAGUUUAAUUUCCAUUUUAAAUUCACGUGGAAAAUUUCUCUCUGAUCAUCUGCAACUGAGGAUCUGAAAUUGUUAUCUGCAAAGACACCUACUCCCCAUGCCAUAGGUAAGCAAUGCUCCUAAUUUUUUUAUGUAUCCUUCCAGAAUUUCUUUAUGCAUAUAUAUGUUAAUUUGGCUAGAGAUUCUUCUUCUUUUUAAAAAAUUUUUUAUUAGAGGAUAGUUGAUUUACAAUGUGCUAAUUUUGGAUAGAGAUUCUUAAUACAGCUUUUUUGGAGCUCUAUCUCUAGGAAGGAAAUUAGUCGAAACCCAAUGACAUAGGGCUCUGAAGAUUUCCCCUAAUCAAGCGUAUGUAUGGGGGGCGAGUGGGCAUGAGGUACACCUCUCUGAAGGGGGAGAGCUUUGAAACAUGAAUAUGUAAAACAGUAAUUGAUAAAGCUCAUUACGAAGUGGCCAAGGAAUGCACUAAAGAGGAAAGUUGCCCCAAAUCUCUCUACCCCCAAAUAAUAAUAAUUCAUAUCAAUUGAAUAUCACAUCUGGGCCAGUGAGGUCCAGGAGAACUUUAUGUGAUAGUGGAAAUAUUUUCUCUGCUGUUUACCAUAACCACUUAUGCCUGUGGAGUGCUUGAAAUGUGGCUAGUGCAACUGAGGAUCUGAAAUUGUUUAUUUUACUUAAUUUUAACUUAAAUAUACCCAGCCACGUGUGUCUAGUGCCUGUUGUACUGGGUAGCGCAGCUCUAGACCCUUUGCAGUGCGUAUGUGUUAGUGGAAGAAUGUAAAGAGGCCGGCGAGGCCGACUAUUUUAGCACUGCCUGCCAGAAGCCUCAGAAGUGUGAUUACUAAUUAGCCUAGGAAUCCUGCUUGUGGGAAUUAUCUUAAAGUAAUGGUUAUGAAUUUGCUCAAACCUAGCUCUGAGAGUAUUUAUUAACAUGAAAAACCAGAACAUUGUAGAAAAAUGUUUAUUGAUGUGGGAAUGUGUUCACAACUGUCUGUUAAGUGAAAGGCAGGUUGUAAGGCAGGAUGAUUUCAUUAAAAUAUAAAGAGCCUAGAAAGAUAUACUGCAAACUGCUCAGUAAAUGGCAGGUACUCAGUAAAUAUGUGUUGAUGAAUGAGUAAAGGUUAAUAAGAGCACUGAGUGGUGAGAUGAUGCGUGAGUUUAUAUUUUUCUUCUGCUCCCUUAUUUAUAUUUUCUAACUACCCAUGGUAAAUACAUAUAUAUACCUUUGUAAGAAGAAAAACAUGUAUUGAGAAGUAUAGUUGCUGGGUCGUAAUAUUUCAGAGCUGGAAGGAACUUUGGAGACAAAGGCACACAUGGCCAGUUAAUGGCAGAAACCCAGAUUUCUCAACUAUACACAAACAUCUUCCGAGCCAAGGAGAAAAGAUUGCUGGAUGGUCUCCUGUCCUGGACUGUCCCUGGCCAGGACAGAGGCUCUCAGCAUGGCAAUUCAGGAGUGGAUUUAGAGAAGAAGGAACAAAGGGUAUCAUGCUUCUCAACAAGAUACAAAACAGGAUGAAAAAUCUCACUAAUAAACUCUGGGCAUCAUGAUGAGGCUUUAGCUGGGCCUGCUUCCCCCCAAAGCCCCCUCACUGGCGAAUUCUUCCAAACAUUUUAAGAGGAAUUAAUCUGAUCUUUCUCAAAUUCUUGCAAAAAUUAGAAGAGGAGGGAACAUUUCCAAACUCAUUUUACGGCAUUAGUCUUACUCUGAUACCAAAACCAGACAAAAACACCACCAGAAGAGAACAUUAUAGGCCAGUAUCCCUGAUGAACAUACAUACAAAAAUCCUCAACAAAAUACUCACAAACUGAGUUCAACAAUAAAAGGAUCAUACGCCAUGAUCAAGUGGACUUUUUUCCAGGGAUGCAAGGAUGGUUCAACAUAUGCAGAUCUAUCACUGUGAUACAGCACAUUAACAAAACAAAGGAUAAAAGCCAUAUGAUCAUCUCAGUAGAUGCAGAAAAAAACAUUUGACAAGAUUCAACAUCCAUUUAUGCUGAAAACUCUCAACAAAGUGGCUAUAGAGGGAAUGCAUCUCAACAUAAAGCCGUAUGUGACAAGCCCACAACUAACAUCAUACUCAUUGGUAAAAAACUGGACGUUUUCUUUCUAACAUCAGGAGCAAGACAAGCAUGCCCACUCUUGCAGCUUUUAUUCAGCAUAGUAUUGGAAGUUGUAGCAAGAACAAUUAGGAAGCUAUAUUAUCUUCAUAAUUUUUCUGAUUAUCUAAAACGAUUCUACAAAAUAAGGGUCUAUUAAAACAUUAAUAAUCUAGGCCCUUCUCUCAAGGAAUGAAGUAGCUGGAGGCCUGAAUUCCAAGUUGGUUUCCUGGGUUCAAACUUUGGUUCCACCAGGACCUGGCAGCGGGCCCUAGAGAGGGCCCUUUUGGUGGCCAGUUUCUUCUUCCAUCAAGUGGGGUAAUACGCAGACCUACCUCACGGGGGCGCUGUGAGAACCAAAUGAGAUACUUGGUACAAAAUGUCAGUAACACCCCGUUUCCAUUUAGAAAUCAAGGCAGAUAAUAAAGGGGUUGAGAGCAUGCAUUUACGACCAGACAGUCUGGAUUCAAAUCCUGGUUCCUCCAGGGCCUGCUCAUAAAAUUGUGGGCUGGUCAUUUGUUCUAAGCCUGUUUCCUUAGCUAUCAAAUGGGAUGAAUAGCACCCACCCACAAGGGGGGUUGGGAGGAUUGAUUGGGCCCCUGCGUGCAAAGCACCAGCACAGUGUGUGUGCAACAUAAGCAUUUGACCCGUCGGAGCUCAGCGAGGAAAGUAGUUGUGCAGCAAGAAUCCAAGAGGGGAGGAAAUAAAUAUGAAGGCUUCCCCCAGGAGGCGGUAGAAAGGGGCCCACUCUGGCUUCUGCACUGGGGCAGCUGAUUGGCCCACUUGACGGUCCUCCCAGGUCCUGUGUGACCUCUUCUUCCACCCCGUGAGGUCCUCUCAGGUCCCCAGCAUUGGAACAAAGCCUCGGUCUGCUGUUCUGCUCCUGUUCUCUUUCUGAACUCUGAUUCGGCCCUUAUCUCAGCCAGCUUUGCCCUGCUUGGCUGCCUGUCACAUUCAAUUCCAUUCCAGGGCUUUCAUCCUGCCCUCGGCCGAGUGUCCCUGAGUCUGAGGCUCUGGGACGUAGGGCCUGGUCUCUGCUGUCCUUGGCUUACACAAGCCUGAGCACUGUGUCUGGAACACAGCAACUUCUCGGUUCAUGGAGGCAGAACAGAAUAAAAUAAUUGCAAAGCCAAUUUCCAGGCCUUGAUGUAGCUGGGUUUCAAGGCACUGAGACACAAGGGUACGCUUCCCCCAUCAAAACAUAUCUUCCUUCUCUGGAUUCCCUCUAGUCCCAGAUUCUACGAGUAGAACUUCUUUGCUUUGGCUUAGGCUAAAUUAGGACCUCGCGCCUGAUAAAAAUGCAACAUUUUCUCUAUCAUUGUCUUAGCAGGGAACAGACAGUACAUUCAAAAGGGUUUAAGUGAAAAAUAAAAUCAGGCAAUUGGUGACAGGACUAUUUGCGGUGAAAUGGGCAGGAUGGAGGAACCAUCAGGGUUGGCGAGGGGCUCUGGGACUUGUGGCGGUGGACAGUUGUUAGUGUCUUAGGGUGGAAGGGCCAAAGGGAGCCCCAUGAGCGCUGAGCUGUGGAGGAGCCACCUCAAGGGGCACGAGGCUGCAGAGAUGCAGCUGCUGCCCAGUGGUGUGAAGCUGCAGUGGGGAUGGGACAUCUCCAUGCUCUUCUCCCCUUGCCCUCAGAUCGCCUGGCAGUGACCUCACUGGCCAAACCCAACCAGAAGCCAGAGGGUGAGGGGGCCUGGGUAACACGGUCCCCAGCGGUCAGCCUCUCUGGAACUGAGAAAGAGAGAAGAGGAGUCUGGGUUGGGAGUGAGGGAGGAAAAGGAGAGAAAGCCUUGCGAGGUGACAUAUGCUAGUUUUAUCAGUCGUGUACAAUUCAGUGUAAAUAAAGGCAUCAGAUCCUUCAGGAAGCACAGAGAAAGGAGACUAGGGACCAGGGUCCCGAAGUGUUAGAAAGAAAAGAGCAUCACUGAUGGGGAACUGAUUUCCCUAACCCCGACCCCUGCUUAAAAAAAAAAAAAAAAAAGUCAAAUGUUGCUUGUUUCCAGUGGUGGCCCCGGAAUGUCCAUAUGAGAAGCCCUAAGCGUGGCCAUCUGGGUGGAUGGGAAACAGCCAUUGCCUCUGCACAGCAAACUCUGGGGCUUUACCUAGAUUUGGGUGCCUGGGAGUGGUGCUGGUGAGGAUUAUAGGGGCAUUAAGUCUCUUCCCCGUCCCACUCUGUCAGUUCCUGAACAAAACUUGGUCAUCGCAGGCCUUCUUGAGCCUCUUGGAGAUGCUGAAGUACGUUGAGAGCCUGAGUCCUGGGGGAUGUGACCUCUCAUCUAGAAGUUGACCUUGACCACAGGUGUCCUCUUACCACACCUUCUUUGAGACCAGUGGAGCACACUCUGUGCCCUUUGCAGGAACUGCGGGGCUUUGGCAGAUUAUCUUCAAACUUGGUUUGAAGAUAACCUGGGAAGGAGGAGAGAAAUGACAUCAGUGGCUAAGGCUGUGUGAAGGGCAUUAGGAGAAGUGCAGGGGCCAAGGUUGAGAGUCUGAGGGUGGAAUGAGGCUCUCUUGGGGUUGGGAAGGGCCAGAGAUCAUCGAGGGAGGGUCUCACUACUCAAAUGGGGGUGCAGGGACCAGGAAUACCAGUGUCACCAGCAAGACUGUGGGAAGGGAAGAAUCUCUGGCUGCACUCCACACCUCCUCAAUCAGGAUUUGCAUUUUCACAAGAUCCCUGGGUGAUUCUCAUACAUCCUUAGUUUGAGAAGCCCUGCCCAGACCCACACUUCUCAGGCAUGCCUGCCUGCUCAUUUCUCUUCAGUACACCGGUGAGGUUUUUCCCCUUCACAGGUAUGCUGGUGCCUUUUUUGUUCAGAAAGUCAUUCAGCAAACCCCGAGUGACUAGUUCAAACAAACAAACAAAGAAUUCCCAUAUGUCCUUCAUCCUAUUCACAUUUUGAUGAAUUUAUUGUCUUAUUCCAUGUAUAUGUAU
Long non-coding RNA from Sus scrofa (pig), 5565 nucleotides. RefSeq lists it as uncharacterized. The record is from RefSeq and is a predicted model, not a curated record. Lineage: Eukaryota; Metazoa; Chordata; Mammalia; Artiodactyla; Suidae.